AAAAAUUGUUUUUCAAACAACCACACUUCUGGAUACAAACAGCCUCACGUAAAAAUGUAUGGAAAGUAAAUAAACAGCUGUCAGUACGUACAUAUAAAAGUGUGCCCUUAC
This is a long non-coding RNA of Phyllostomus discolor (pale spear-nosed bat), 111 nucleotides long. RefSeq lists it as uncharacterized. The transcript is spliced from 3 exons. The record is from RefSeq and is a predicted model, not a curated record. Lineage: Eukaryota; Metazoa; Chordata; Mammalia; Chiroptera; Phyllostomidae.